RNAcentral lists this ribosomal RNA (454 nucleotides) under uncultured bacterium. RNAcentral describes it as "bacterial SSU rRNA". It matches the Rfam family "Bacterial small subunit ribosomal RNA", at positions 340 to 786 of the family's 1533-position model. The record is from RNAcentral.
UACGGGAGGCAGCAGUGGGGAAUAUUGCACAAUGGGCGCAAGCCUGAUGCAGCCAUGCCGCGUGUAUGAAGAAGGCCUUCGGGUUGUAAAGUACUUUCAGUCGUGAGGAAGGUGUUAAGGUUAAUAACCUUAGCAAUUGACGUUAGCGACAGAAGAAGCACCGGCUAACUCCGUGCCAGCAGCCGCGGUAAUACGGAGGGUGCGAGCGUUAAUCGGAAUUACUGGGCGUAAAGGGCACGCAGGCGGUUAAUUAAGUUGGAUGUGAAAUCCCCGGGCUUAACCUGGGAAUGGCAUUCAAGACUGGUUAGCUAGAGUCUUGUAGAGGGGGUUAGAAUUCCAUGUGUAGCGGUGAAAUGCGUAGAGAUGUGGAGGAAUACCGGUGGCGAAGGCGGCCCCUGGACAAAGACUGACGCUCAUGUGCGAAAGCGUGGGGAGCAAACAGGGAUUAGAUACC